UUACAGCCAUAUCACAUUGGAAAACCGUUUCUCGUGUGAUCACCGAAGUUAAGCAACGUCGAGCCUGAACAGUACCUAGACGAGUGACCGCUUGGAUAUACUAGGUGCUGUAA
This is a non-coding RNA of Acanthosepion pharaonis, 113 nucleotides long. The record is from the annotation of a GenBank genome assembly. Lineage: Eukaryota; Metazoa; Mollusca; Cephalopoda; Sepiida; Sepiidae.